This 73-nucleotide transfer RNA is filed under the name Haemaphysalis longicornis (longhorned tick). It matches the Rfam family "tRNA". Rfam says of the family: Transfer RNA (tRNA) molecules are approximately 80 nucleotides in length. Their secondary structure includes four short double-helical elements and three loops (D, anti-codon, and T loops). Further hydrogen bonds mediate the characteristic L-shaped molecular structure. tRNAs have two regions of fundamental functional importance: the anti-codon, which is responsible for specific mRNA codon recognition, and the 3' end, to which the tRNAs corresponding amino acid is attached (by aminoacyl-tRNA synthetases). tRNAs cope with the degeneracy of the genetic code in two manners: having more than one tRNA (with a specific anti-codon) for a particular amino acid; and 'wobble' base-pairing, i.e. permitting non-standard base-pairing at the 3rd anti-codon position. Lineage: Eukaryota; Metazoa; Arthropoda; Arachnida; Ixodida; Ixodidae. The record is from Rfam by way of RNAcentral.
GCCCGGCUAGCUCAGUCGGUAGAGCAUGAGACUCUUAAUCUCAGAGUCGUGGGUUCGAGCCACACGUUGGGCG